Molecule: long non-coding RNA, 1823 nt
Organism: Mirounga angustirostris (Northern elephant seal)
Lineage: Eukaryota; Metazoa; Chordata; Mammalia; Carnivora; Phocidae
Exons: 6
Source: RefSeq, a predicted model, not a curated record
CUAUCUGCCACACAUUACACUAAGUGCAUCUCAUGGAUCGUGUCGUUUGGUGCACCUCUGCUAUUGAUGCUGUUUCAAAACCUCCUUUACAGAGGAGGAGUCUGAUCAUGGAGAGGUGAAGUGACUUGUCCAAGGUCCCACACCCAGCAAAGGAUGGAGAUGGGAUUGAACCAGGCAGUCAGGGUCCAGCAGGACUUCGUGCCCGGAUAAGAGAAAGUAAUUCAUUUCCCAGUCACAUAAAAACACAGAAAGUAGGUCUGGGCGACUGAACUUCCACAAAGGUCAAGGAUGGGCAGUAUAUCCGGCUUAUUCUGGGUGGCACCUUGUUACUUCUCUGAGACAGCAUCUACACAAGUCAAGGUAGAAAGGAGUGUUCUCACUGUAGGGAGGUGUAGCCGUUAAGAGAAGAGCUUUGUGUCAGGCAGACCUUGGUAUGGUUCCAGCCCUCCCAGUUGUCACCUGUGGGACCUAGGGAAGUGACUAAGAUACCCUGGACUCAGCUUCCUCAUCUGUAGAAUGGGAAUAUGAUUAUUUGUAAGGAUUACAUUUGAUAAGCUUGUAAAGAUCCUCCACUCCCCAGCUCAUGUCCCGUCAUGUUAUUUGCUCCAGUUCUCCUGUCUCGCAGCAAGACAGCUAGCAGACCCAGUGCCACCAGCCAGUCUCACUCCAUAUUUUGAAAUGGACACUGGAUGAGCAUGGAAUACUCCAGUUCAGCUGCUCAUCAUCAAAUAUCAUCGAAUCCUCAUUGUAGUGCCAGGACUCAAAAGAAGGAUAAGUUUCAAAACCUGAAAUCCUGCAAGAUCGAGCUCAGCUCCUGUGGUUUGAACUUCAGAGCAUCUAUAAAGUCAACAGUCCUUACAGAAGACUGUCUUCCUCUUUCCUGAGAAGCCUCUGAUGCCCUGCUUUCAUUCAUUGAGGGGCCCGGGCAUCAGUGUGCAGCCAGUGUUGAGAACCACUGCUUUGGGAGGUUGUCACAGAAGCCCAGAUCAUUUGCCUUGGGAGAAGAGAGCUGCCAUGUCAUGUGAGCAGCCCUAGAGAGAGGCCCAUCUGGCAAGGACCUGAAGCUUCCUACCAACAGCCAUGUGAGUGAUCUUGGAAGCAGAUUCGCCAUCCGCAUCAGAUGGCUGCAUCCCCAGCUGACAACCUGCCUACAGCCAGGAAGAAAAACAAGAUUCUUUUUUUGCAGUUGGAAGUUAUUUUCAUGAAAGAAGACUUUAGCUUCUGAUGUUAUUAUUAAAUCAAGAUUUUGAUUUGUCUUCAUGAAAGCAACCACAUAUGACUUCAAUGGUCACAGGCUAAAGCAAAAAUAAGUGAGGUAUUGACAUACGUGCACCACGACAUAUGCGUGACCUGUUUGUGGCAACACUUUUAAUAACCAGAGACUGGAAAUAAUUGAAGGGCCUCUCACCAGUAGGGAAGCUGACCUAAUUGUGGCUCAUUUAUACAAUUGAAUAUGGUGCAGCUUUGGAAGAACUGAGGUGUCUGUGGCUUAUAUGGAAUGAUCUCUACAGUAUAUUCUAAGCAAAAAUAGCGAGGUGUUGAUUAGUGUUUUUACUGUGUUUCCAUUCAUUUAAAAAAGUAUGCAGGUGCUCACUUACUUUUAUAUAUAAGGUGGAAUAUUUUUAGGAGGUAGAUAAUGGCUUCUACAGAGAGCCUGGGAGACAAGCGUUGAGGGAAAGAUAGACUUUUCAUUGUAAAUCCUUCUGUAUUGUUUAUUUUACCAUGUUUGUAUAUGUUAAUUUUUUUCAAUAAUAAAAAUUGAGUUUUGUGGUUGUGUGCACUUAAUUCUGAGCUUCAUUUCUCCUGGAGUCUGCUUCAUUCCU